CUGAACUGAUGUUCAGCAUUUUACAGACAAUUCUAUAAUGCUCCCAGACAGGUGACUCAGGAGAGGCAGAAGCAGCUGGCCCUGGGCCCACCCAUUUCUUUAUUCUUUUCUGCUGGGCCUCAUUCCUGCUGUUUGUUAUUUGCAGCAGGUGACUGUGCUCUCUCUCCUGGCUGCCCUCUGACCUUCACCUCCAUGUUUCCUGACAAACCCCAGGGCUGUUGCAGCAAAUUACCUUCUUAGUUUUACAGACACUGUCUGCAUGCAUGCUCCUUCCCAUGUCUGAAUUUAGUCUAAAGUUGCAG
This 302-nucleotide long non-coding RNA is filed under the name Homo sapiens (human). RNAcentral's name for it is "HSALNT0034129". The record is from RNAcentral. Lineage: Eukaryota; Metazoa; Chordata; Mammalia; Primates; Hominidae.